AGAGUUUGAUCCUGGCUCAGAAUCAACGCUGGCGGCGUGCCUAACACAUGCAAGUCGAACGAGAAAGUGGAGCAAUCCAUGAGUAAAGUGGCGACCGGGUGAGUAACACGUGACUAAUCUACCCUUGAGUGGGGAAUAACCUUCCGAAAGGAGGGCUAAUACCGCAUAAAGUCCAGAGGCUGAAAUGCCAUUGGACCAAAGGAGCAAUUCGCUUAAGGAGGAGGUCGCGGUUGAUUAGCUAGUUGGUGGGGUAAUGGCCCACCAAGGCGAUGAUCAAUAGCCGGCCUGAGAGGGCGCACGGCCACACUGGAACUGAAACACGGUCCAGACUCCUACGGGAGGCAGCAGUGGGGAAUUUUGCGCAAUGGGGGAAACCCUGACGCAGCAACGCCGCGUGAAGGAUGAAGGUCUUUGGAUUGUAAACUUCUUUCGUCCGGGAAGAUAAUGACGGUACCGGAAUAAGAAGCCCCGGCUAACUUCGUGCCAGCAGCCGCGGUAAUACGAAGGGGGCGAGCGUUGUUCGGAAUUAUUGGGCGUAAAGGGAGCGUAGGCGGUUCGAUAAGUCACUUGUGAAAUCUCUGGGCUCAACUCAGAGUCUGCAAGCGAAACUGUCGGGCUUGAGUAUGGGAGAGGUGAGUGGAAUUCCUGGUGUAGCGGUGAAAUGCGUAGAUAUCAGGAGGAACACCUGUGGCGAAAGCGGCUCACUGGACCAUUACUGACGCUGAUGCUCGAAAGCUAGGGGAGCAAACAGGAUUAGAUACCCUAGUAGUCC
RNAcentral lists this ribosomal RNA (772 nucleotides) under uncultured bacterium. Its description in RNAcentral is "bacterial SSU rRNA". It matches the Rfam family "Bacterial small subunit ribosomal RNA", at positions 8 to 796 of the family's 1533-position model. The record is from RNAcentral.